CUCCCCUCAGGGUCGCACCUGGAGAGUUUCCAGUACUCUUCCAGUCUCAGCAUCAGGAGGGAGGUAGUCAAGCAGAGGCCUGUCCAUCCCAUUCCUAGCUUGGCAAGUGGCUGGCGAGUGGAAGGCAAUCUGCUACAAGU
Small nucleolar RNA from Tachyglossus aculeatus (Australian echidna), 140 nucleotides. NCBI's taxonomy places the organism in Eukaryota, Metazoa, Chordata, Mammalia, Monotremata, Tachyglossidae. The record is from RefSeq and is a predicted model, not a curated record.